Molecule: unclassified non-coding RNA, 218 nt
Filed under: Pseudomonas chlororaphis
Lineage: Bacteria; Pseudomonadati; Pseudomonadota; Gammaproteobacteria; Pseudomonadales; Pseudomonadaceae
Also listed under: 1 other name
Description: Pseudomonas sRNA P29
Source: RNAcentral
AAGCACAAAGGGGAGCCGAAGCUCCCCUUUAAUUUUGUCGUUGCGUGCUCUUUUUUUAUUAUUGAGGGGCGGUCUGUUGUUGUUUUUGGCAACCGUUACCCUUUACCGCUGUUUUUGGCGAUCCCCAUCCGGGAUCAAGAGCAAACGUAUUUUUUUGAGCGCUGAUCUAUUUUCUCGCUUGAGCGACCAACCAGUUCGGGAGCUACCUUGGGGUAGUU